Molecule: ribosomal RNA, 251 nt
Filed under: uncultured prokaryote
Description: partial 16S rRNA
Rfam family: Bacterial small subunit ribosomal RNA
Source: RNAcentral
ACGGAGGAUGCAAGCGUUAUCCGGAUUCAUUGGGUUUAAAGGGUGCGUAGGCGGGGUAAUAAGUCAGUGGUGAAAGCCUACAGCUUAACUGUAGAAUUGCCGUUGAUACUGUUAUCCUUGAGUAUAGUUGAGGUAGCUGGAAUGUGUGGUGUAGCGGUGAAAUGCUUAGAUAUCACACAGAACACCAAUUGCGAAGGCAGGUUACUAAACUAUAACUGACGCUGAGGCACGAAAGCGUGGGGAGCAAACAG